UUGGAUCUUGGGAUCGAGCUGGCGGUCCGCCGCAAGGUGAGCUACCGCCUGUCCCAGCCUCUGCCUCUUGGCGCCUACCUGAAGCUCUUGACUGAAUGUCACGGGGGCCCUGAAGCAUUUACUUUGAAAAAAUUAGAGUGUUCCAAGCAGGCCACGUCGCCUGGAUACUUCAGCUAGAAAUAAUGGAAUAGGACUGUGGUUCUAUUUUGUUGGUUUUCGGAACUGGGACCAUGAUUGAGAGGGAUGGCCGGGGGCAUUCGUAUUGUGCCGCAAGAGGUGAAAUUCUUGGACCGACACAAGACGAACCAAAGCAAAAGUAUUUGCCAAGAAUGUUUUCAUUAA
RNAcentral lists this non-coding RNA (342 nucleotides) under Xenopus laevis (African clawed frog). RNAcentral's name for it is "Eukaryotic small subunit ribosomal RNA". It matches the Rfam family "Eukaryotic small subunit ribosomal RNA", at positions 634 to 976 of the family's 1831-position model. The record is from Rfam by way of RNAcentral. Lineage: Eukaryota; Metazoa; Chordata; Amphibia; Anura; Pipidae.